UACGUAGGGUGCGAGCGUUGUCCGGAAUUACUGGGCGUAAAGAGCUCGUAGGUGGUUUGUCGCGUUGUUCGUGAAAUUCCCUGGCUUAACUGGGGGCGUGCGGGCGAUACGGGCAGACUGGAGUACUGCAGGGGAGACUGGAAUUCCUGGUGUAGCGGUGGAAUGCGCAGAUAUCAGGAGGAACACCAAUGGCGAAGGCAGCUCGCUGGGACGGUACUGACGCUGAGACGCGAAAGCGUGGGGAGCAAACAG
RNAcentral lists this ribosomal RNA (252 nucleotides) under uncultured bacterium. RNAcentral describes it as "partial 16S ribosomal RNA". It matches the Rfam family "Bacterial small subunit ribosomal RNA", at positions 524 to 775 of the family's 1533-position model. The record is from RNAcentral.